RNAcentral lists this ribosomal RNA (843 nucleotides) under Ironus sp. SA-50571. RNAcentral's name for it is "SSU rRNA". It matches the Rfam family "Eukaryotic small subunit ribosomal RNA", at positions 88 to 934 of the family's 1831-position model. The record is from RNAcentral. Lineage: Eukaryota; Metazoa; Nematoda; Enoplea; Enoplida; Ironidae.
CGCGAAUAGCUCAUUACAACAGCCAAAUUUUAAUUGAAGUUAAAGGUUUACUUGGAUAACUGUGGCAAUUCUAGAGCUAAUACAUGCAACAAAACUCUGACCGUAAGGGAGGAGUGCACUUAUUAGAACAAAACCAAUCGGGCUUCGGCUCGUAAGUUGAUGACUCUGAAUAAUUUUGCCGAUCGAACGGUCUUUGAACCGUCGACAAUUCAUACAAAUGUCUGCCUUAUCAACUUUCGAUGGUAGUAUAUGGGACUACCAUUGUGAUAACGGGUAACGGAGAAUUAGGGUUCGACUCCGGAGAGGGAGCCUGAGAAACGGCUACCACAUCCAAGGAAGGCAGCAGGCACGCAAAUUACCCACUCUCGGCAAGAGGAGGUAGUGACGAAAAAUAACGUGGCGGUUCUCUACGAGGCCCGUCAACGGAAUGAACACAAUUUAAAUCCUUUAAUGAGGAUCCAUUGGAGGGCAAGUCUGGUGCCAGCAGCCGCGGUAAUUCCAGCUCCAAUAGCGUAUAUUAAAGUUGUUGCGGUUAAAAAGCUCGUAGUUGGAUCUCCGGUCAUGCGAAGCGGUCGCCCAGUGGGUUGUUACUGCUCUCGCAGGCCAAAUUUUUCUAGCGUACCCUUGGUGCUCUUCACCGGGUGUCUUGGGUUGCUAGUGCGUUUACUUUGAAAAAAUUAGAGUGCUUAAAGCAGACGCUUGUUUGAAUAGUGGUGCAUGGAAUAAUGAAAUAGGACCUUGAGUCCAUUUUGUUGGUUUACAGUCUCGAGGUAAUGAUUAAGAGGGACAGACGGGGGCAUUUGUAUUGCGACGUUAGAGGUGAAAUUCUUGGAUCGUCGCAAG